Molecule: long non-coding RNA, 683 nt
Organism: Glycine soja
Lineage: Eukaryota; Viridiplantae; Streptophyta; Magnoliopsida; Fabales; Fabaceae
Exons: 2
Source: RefSeq, a predicted model, not a curated record
GUAUUUUAAACUUAUUACACUAAUAUAUAUUUCUUUUCUUUUUUUGUAUUACUUUGACAUCCCUUAAUUAAACGUGUUAACCAAUGUUCACAUUUUUAUGUGGAAUGACAAGAUUGCACCCUUAUCUUCCUUCCUUGAUAUACCUCCACCCUUAUUCUCACCGUCACCGUCACCGUCAAGGCCAUCAUGUUCAACAUCCGCAUGACGGUCACUCAGCCCUCCACCGCCGCUGGCGUGUCGGAACCUGCGAGGAAACUGCCAUAUCGGAACCCAGCAAGUAGAGGUUUUGCCUUCUCCGUUUACAAGACCGAGGAAGGGUUUUGAAGUUGUAGAGUCUUCUGGGUUUGUCCAAAAUUUGUAGCUGGUUUAUGUGGAUUUUGAAAUUUUGUAUGCUCUCUCUUUGGUUCACCAUGUUUCAGCUGAUUGCCAUGAACAUUAAGUGUACUCAUGAAGAACAUGAGGACACUUGUGUCCAAAAAAUUCAUUAAACAAACCCAUGUACCUCACAUGUGACCACUUGAGUUGGGGAUUCGAGUGUAACUAGAUUGCAAAACGGAGAGGGGUUGUCUCUAGGAAUCAAGAAUAGAGGGGAUGUGUAUGUAAUAAAUUCAUAGUUGAGGGGUUACGAGUGUAAUAUGCUCAAGAAAUUUUCAUUCAAUUGAAGAAGUGACUACAAAUAUUCA